RNAcentral lists this ribosomal RNA (433 nucleotides) under uncultured bacterium. Its description in RNAcentral is "partial 16S ribosomal RNA". It matches the Rfam family "Bacterial small subunit ribosomal RNA", at positions 29 to 507 of the family's 1533-position model. The record is from RNAcentral.
AACGAACGCUGGCGGCAUGCCUAACACAUGCAAGUCGAACGAGACCUUCGGGUCUAGUUGCGCACGGGUGCGUAACGCGUGGGAACCUGCCCUUAGGUUCGGAAUAACUCCCCGAAAGGGGUGCUAAUACCGGAUAAUGUCUUCGGACCAAAGAUUUAUCGCCUUUGGAUGGGCCCGCGUUGGAUUAGCUAGUUGGUAGGGUAAAAGCCUACCAAGGAGACGAUCCAUAGCUGGUCUGAGAGGAUGAUCAGCCACACUGGGACUGAGACACGGCCCAGACUGCUACGGGAGGAAGCAGUGGGGAAUAUUGGACAAUGGGGGAAAGCCUGAUCCCGCAAUGUCGCGUGAGUGAUGAAGGCCUUAGGGUUGUACAGCUCUUUUACCCGGGAUGAUAAUGACAGUACCGGGAGAAUAAGCUCCGGCUAACUCCGUG